RNAcentral lists this non-coding RNA (25 nucleotides) under Mus musculus (house mouse). Lineage: Eukaryota; Metazoa; Chordata; Mammalia; Rodentia; Muridae. The record is from RNAcentral.
UUUCAACUGCGACUUUUUGUGUGUC